GACGAACGCUGGCGGCGUGCUUAACACAUGCAAGUCGAACGGAAAGGCCCUGCUUUUGUGGGGUGCUCGAGUGGCGAACGGGUGAGUAACACGUGAGUAACCUGCCCUUGACUUUGGGAUAACUUCAGGAAACUGGGGCUAAUACCGGAUAGGAGCUCCUGCUGCAUGGUGGGGGUUGGAAAGUUUCGGCGGUUGGGGAUGGACUCGCGGCUUAUCAGCUUGUUGAUGGGGUAGUGGCUUACCAAGGCUUUGACGGGUAGCCGGCCUGAGAGGGUGACCGGCCACAUUGGGACUGAUAUACGGCCCAGACUCCUACGGGAGGCAGCAGUGGGGAAUAGUGCACAAUGGGCGGAAGCCUGAUGCAGCAACGCCGCGUGCGGGAUGACGGCCUUCGGGUUGUAAACCGCUUUCGCCUGUGACGAAGCGUGAGUGACGGUAAUGGGUAAAGAAGCACCGGCUAACUACGUG
Molecule: ribosomal RNA, 468 nt
Filed under: uncultured bacterium
Lineage: Bacteria
Description: partial 16S ribosomal RNA
Rfam family: Bacterial small subunit ribosomal RNA
Source: RNAcentral